RNAcentral lists this long non-coding RNA (364 nucleotides) under Ananas comosus (pineapple). RNAcentral describes it as "long non-coding RNA (ACOM_LNC019659)". The record is from RNAcentral. Lineage: Eukaryota; Viridiplantae; Streptophyta; Magnoliopsida; Poales; Bromeliaceae.
CUUAUAUACCCCUGAAAAGUUCCCGACUUUCUAAUUUACCCCUCUUAGAAGGCUAAUGUUGAAAAUACCCCUCCUAUGUUCCAACCUAUUUCUAAUAUACCCUUAGGGCUUGUUUGGUUCAUCUAUUUUGGGUAUGGAAUGGGAAUCGGUUUGAUCAAAUCCGGUUAAUUUUGUUUGGUUCGCAUUAAUCGGUUUGGGAUUUCUAUUCCGGACUGGAAUGGGAAUGGCCCAUUAGCCUUCAACUUGAUUCCGGUCUUCUAGCCCGGAUUGAGAUUUCAUUCCGAAAGCCCACUAAGUUCUCAAAGCCCAUAUGACCUUCUUACCCUCCUUCUCUUCACCUCUUUCUCAUCAAAAAAAAAAAAAA